GACGAACGCUGGCGGCGUGCCUAACACAUGCAAGUCGAACGGAGUGUUUAUUUAUAAACACUUUGUGGCGAACGGGUGAGUAACGCGUAGACAACCUACCCUCUAGAUGGGGACAACACCGCGAAAGUGGUGCUAAUACAGAAUGUUGUAAUGUUAUUGCAUAAUGAUAUUACUAAAGGUGGCCUCUAUAUAUAAGCUACCGCUAGAAGAUGGGUCUGCGUCUGAUUAGCUAGUUGGUGAGAUAACAGCUCACCAAGUCAAUGAUCAGUAGCCGGUCUGAGAGGAUGAACGGCCACACUGGGACUGAGACACGGCCCAGACUCCUACGGGAGUCAGCAGUGGGGAAUCUUCCGCAAUUGACGAAAGUCUGACGGAGCAACGCCGUGUGAGUGAAGAAGGUUUUCGGAUCGUAAAGCUCUGUCUUCAAGGACGAAUGUAGAUAUUGUGAAUAAUGAUAUUUAAUGACGGUACUUGAGGAGGAAGCCACGGCUAACUACGUGCCAGCAGCCGCAGUAA
This 516-nucleotide ribosomal RNA is filed under the name uncultured bacterium. RNAcentral's name for it is "partial 16S ribosomal RNA". It matches the Rfam family "Bacterial small subunit ribosomal RNA", at positions 28 to 523 of the family's 1533-position model. The record is from RNAcentral.